RNAcentral lists this long non-coding RNA (3684 nucleotides) under Ovis aries (sheep). Its description in RNAcentral is "lncRNA (ENSOARG00000025485.1)". The record is from RNAcentral. Lineage: Eukaryota; Metazoa; Chordata; Mammalia; Artiodactyla; Bovidae.
GGCCUUCAGCCUCAGUGGACCAAGGCCCUGCGGCCUGUGGUCAGGUGUGGACGGAGGCCACUGCGGUCUGCAGUCCCAUGUGGACGGAGGGAGGCCCCUGCGGUCUGCGGUCCCGUGUGGCCUCCACCCAGAUGGUCUGCCCCANNNNNNNNNNNNNNNNNNNNNNNNNNNNNNNNNNNNNNNNNNNNNNNNNNNNNNNNNNNNNNNNNNNNNNNNNNNNNNNNNNNNNNNNNNNNNNNNNNNNNNGUCACCCCCCAGCCCCGCACCUCAGGCCCGGUCGUCUGAGCAUCAGGAGGCACUCAGCAGCCCUCUCCUCGGGCAGGAAGAGGCCCCGAUGGCGCUGACCACACAUACAGGCCGCUGGCCCCCAGCCUCUCGACUGCCCCAGAGACGUCAGCCCCUGGUGGCCUAUCCACUGGCCCAGGAGCCACACACCAGCCCCCCAGGCCCCUUAACUAACCCAGCCAGGGCCCCAGCCCCCCAGACUCAGCUUCUGCUGGUCCUUCGGGCAACGUGUGGCCGACCUGAGGGCGUGGUCUGGGCACGGGAGGGGGUCCCCUUUGGGGUCCCUGCCUUAGGUGCAGCUGAACCACUGUCCCCCCACCCACAGUGGCAAAAUGCACGACUGUCUUCUGUUUUUAUGUUUUUACAUCAGUCCAAAUUCCAAAAACCAACUAUCAAAUUCUAUUAUUUAGUCGUUUAAAAUAUAAAUUAAUUUUAAAUUCUGUCCACCCACAUUCACAGCAGCACUGUCCGCAGUAGCCACAAGAUGGAAGCAACCCAGGUGUCCCGACUGAUGAAGGAUAAACAGAGUGUGGCCCGUCCACACAACAGAGUACUAUUCAGCGAAAGCACGAAGGAAGUUCUGAGCCGCGCUAACUGUGGAUGGACCCUGAGGACACAAUGCUCAGUGACGUGGGCCAGACGGAAGGGGAUGGACACCUGCAACCCGCUUACCUGCAGUGCUCAGAGCAGCCAAACCGUGAAGACAGAAAGCACAUCAGGAGGUGCCAACAGGUUGGAGGUCCUGCCAGUCCAGUGAGAUCAGGAAGCGAAACGGAAGGAAUAACACCGGAAGAACAUGACAAGACAGACAGUCUGCACCAGAAGCCCGGGGCCGCCCCACGGCCACGACGGAGCUGGGGACGGCCCAGGGGCAGGUCCAUCGAGUCUGGUGGAGGAAGGAGGCGGCCAGCAGAGCACACGGCCAUCCCGAGGGGCCUAGGCUGGAGCAGCCUCGGGGUGCAGGACAGUGGGCAGGGGGCAGAGGGGCAACUCCUAGGACUGGGGGCCCCGGGGAACGGGGAGCAGGGCACUACCCCGGGACAGUCACCCAGAUCCGCAAGCAGGGCCAAGGCCCCGCACGACCCCCUGCAAGCCGACAGCGGGACCCAGGCCCAGAGAGCAGGGCGAGCCUGGCCCAGAUGAGCAGCCUGACAACAGGGGCCUCAAGCCCCGGGCACCAGACGGACCGGGCUCAGGCGGCACAGGCCUCAGUGCAGAGGGAGCUUUGGGGGGGCCCGGCCGUCCUGAGCCCAGGGACGCUCCCCAUGGCCCGUCUCCCUGCCCGAGGGCGUUGCGCCCUAACCCAGGCCCGCAGCAACAGCUUGGACCUCAGAGAGCCAGGACGGCGCCAGCAAAGGGGGCCACCGCUCCAGGACGGCCGGGUCAGUAAGGCCAGCUCUGCCGGCUUGAGAGGCCUCUUGCCCUGGCUGGCGUGCGUGGGUGGAGGGCUCACCCAGAAGGAGGCUGGCCAUGUGCCUGCGGGACCAGCUGGGACACUGGGCCGAGACUCAGAGGUGUGACAGUCGGGGCCGGCCCAGAGCACCCCGGCGGGACGGCAGUGGCUUCACACGAGCAGCGGGUGUCAGUCACCCCAGUUCUGGAGCCCCCCAUCAGGUGGCCCAGAGAUGUGCUCCCUCUCGAGGCUUCAAGGAGGGUCCCCCUGCCCCCUACUGCUGGGGGCUCUGGGCAUCCGAGCAUGUGUGCCAGGCUGCCUCAGUCCCGGCAUCAUCCCCACAGGGCUCCCCCGACCGUCCUCUCCCCCACUGAGGGUGCUCCCCUGACUGUCCUCUUCCCCCCCGAGGGUGCUCCCCCGACCAUCCUCUUCCCCCUGAGGGUGCUCCCCCGACUGUCCUCUCCCCGUGAUGGUGCUGCCCCGACCGUCCUCUCCCCCUGUAAGGAGGCUCCCCUGUCUGUCCUCUUGCUCCCCAACCAUCCUCUCCCUCCGUGAAGGUGCUCCCCGACCAUCCUCUCCCCCCGUGAGGGUGCUCCCCCAACUGUCCUCUCCCUCCAUGAAGACGCUUGCUCCUGCUGGCCCCCUCUCAGUCCUGAUCUCAGCUGCAUCUGCACACACCCCCCUGCUGCCAAACAAGUCACAAGCUGAGGAUUUGGGGGCUCCAGGGGCACAAAUCAGUGCAGAGGGUAAUGCAGGACACCAGCCACAUGCACCUGUGACCUCUGGGCCUCUGGAGAGCCCCACCUGCCCUCCGUGCUGGUUUCUGGAGCUUAAACCUGAAGACGGAAAAGGGGCCUCAAGCCACUGCCCCAAAGCAGCAGGAGGUAGAAGGGGUGUCCUUCCAGGGGGCCCCCGGGUGCACACGCUCAGGGCCCCCAUCCCACCACUGCCUGGAGCCUAAUGGAGAUCAGUGGCCCCAGGGAAAUGGGGGGGGGGAGGGGAAGUGGGGGGGGGGGGCUCCUGGCUCCCAAGGGACUGGCUGUCCUGAGUUUCCUGGGGACCCUUGGGCCCUCUGCUGCCCCGAGGCUUCCUGGACACCCCCAGUGUUGGAAAGAGAGUGCGAGACGUUCAUGCUGCCCAGAAGCCGGGCUAAGGAGGUAAAGGAUGCCCCAGAGGUGCUCACCGUGUGCGACUGGCCACCAGGGAAACCGGCCAACCCAGAAGGUCCCUGCAGGGCCCUCCUCACGGGACGUCCGGGCCUGAAACCUGGCCGACGGGGAGGGUAGUGAACGGCAAGCUAAAAUGAAGUCUCACUUUGCAAAAAGAGUUUCUUCAAGAAAUGCCAAAAAGAUCAUCAUAGUUGUGAGUGAGCAAGGGAAUCUGCGUGCAUCACUUUUUGUUUUCCCAAGUUUUCUAGGGGUGUAUUUUAUUUCUAUAACCAGAAAGAAAGAUGUUACAAACAAGAGGAACCAAAAAGGUGCUGGGCAGGGACCCAGCUGGGGUGGGCAGCUCCGCCCCUCCAGGCAGCUGCCCCUGCCCCUCCAGGCAGCUCUGGGGCGUUUCCUCCUCCGGCCCCGGCCCCACGGCUGGCCGGCUCAGGGGAGUUUGGCAACUGCGGGCAGACUUCGCAAUGGGAUCAGGGGUGUCUAGAGCCCUGGGGACCCUCCCCAGGCUUUGAAGUAGAAAGAACUGAGGAGAGACGACCCUGGACAGACACGCUGCUGCUGCUGCUGCUUCUGCUAAGUCGCUUCAGUUGUGUCCGACUCUGUGCAACCCCAUAGACGGCAGCCCACCAGGCUCCCCCGUCCCUGGGAUCCUCCAGGCAAGAACACUGGAGUGGGUUGCCAUUUCCUUCUCCAAUGCGUGAAAGUGGAAAGUGACGCAGAAUCCCUUUAUUUCUCGCUCAUAAGACAGAAAGUCGUGAGCCAAGCAAGGCUAGAGGAAGGCCGUACCGACAACCGAGCCCCGUGUGCUCCACUAGGAUCCCCGUGCCCCCUCCCACCCCA